AUUCUUAGGUUGUAACUGGGUUAUAGCUUUCAUGUGAAAGCCCCAAAUUAGUUUCAUAGUAGGGCUGAGUACAUUGGAUACUUUUUCUUCCAUUUUUGAGAUACUUUACUAAGAAUAAUAUACUUGAGAUACUUCCAUUCUUGAGAUACUUUAUUAAGAAUAAUCCACGUAAACAUGAAAGAGGUAAAGUCUCCAUCUUUCUUUAAGGCUGCAUAAUAUUCCAUGGUGUACAUAUACCACAAUUUAUUAAUCCAUUCGUGGAUCGAUGGGCACUUGGGCUUUUCCAUGAUUCAGCAAUUAUGAAUAGGGCUGCAAUAAACAUUCUGGUACAAAUAUCUUUGUUAUGAUGUGAUUUUUGGUCUUCUGGGUAUAUGCCCAGUAGAGGAAUUAUAAGAUUGAAUGGCAGAUCUAUUUUUAGAUCUCUAAGUGUUCUCCAUAUAUCUUUCCAAAAGGAAUGUAUUAAUUUGCAUUCCCACCAGCAGUGUAGAAGUGUUCCCUUUUCUCCACAUCCACGCCAACAUCUCUGGUCUUGGGAUUUUGUGAUAUAGCAACAACCGAGGCGACUGCGACAGCGGUGGGGGAUACUGCCGAAUCAAAGAGCACAGACUGGCCACCGGACCUACUUACUCGCCUCGCCGAUUGUCUACUUUUAAGAGUUUACAGCUUUUCUAAGAACUUUUGUAUACCAACGAACUUUCUUAAAAAGAAGGUUUCAAUUUAUAUUUAAUCGAAAGAAGGAGGAUCUCGGGGCAGUUUGGGGGUUUGGGUUUUGGCUUCGUUUCUAAGUUUUUCUUCGUUGAUUUUGGGGUUCGGGUACCCCCCCCGCUAAGGGCUCCGAGGACUUUCUGGGCCCCCACAUUAAUGAGGCAGCCACCUGGCGAGUCUGACAUGGCUGUCAGCGACGCUGCUCCAUCUUUCUCCACGUUUGCCUCCGGCCCUGCGGGAAGGGAGAAGCCACCGCAUCCGGCAGGUGCCCCGAAUAACCGCUGAAGGGAGGAGCUCUCCCACAUGAAGCGACUUCCCCCAGUGCUUCCUGGCCGCCCCUACAACCUGGCGGUGGCGACCGUGACCACAGACCUCGAGAGCGGCGGAGCCAGGGCGGCUUGCUGUGGUAGCAACCCGGCCCUGCUACCCCGGAGGGAGACCGAGGUAUUCAAUGAUAACAAUCUCCUGGACCUAGACUUUAUCCUUUCCAACUCGCUGUCCCAUUCGGAGUCGGUGGCCGCCACCGUGUCCUCAUCGGCGUCAGCUUCAUCCUCGUCCUCCCUUUUGAGCAGCCGCCCUGCCAGCGCCCCUCCACCUGUAGCUUCAGCUAUCUGAUCCCAGCCGAGGGCGACCCGAGCGUGGCGCCUGGCGGCACAGGCGGAGGCCUCUUCUAUAGCUGAGAUCUGCGCCCCCUCCCACAGCUCCCUUGAACCUGGCGGACAUCAACGACGUGAGCCCCUCUGGCGGCUUCGUGGCCGAGCUCUUGAGGUCUGAAUUGGACCCCGUGUACAUUCAGCCGCUGCAGCCGCAGCCGCCAGGUGGCGGGCUGAUGGGCAAGUUUGUGUUGAAGUCGUCGAUGAGCGCCCCUGGCAGUGAGUAUGGCAGUUCCUUGGUCAUCAGUGUUAGCAAAAGCAGCCCUGACGGCAGCCACCCGGUGGUAGUGGCGCCCUACAGUGGCGGGCUUCCGCGUAUGUGCCCUAAGAUCAAGCAGGAGGCAGUCCCCUCCUGCACCGAUGGCCGGCCCCUGGAGGCCCAUUUGGGUGCUGGACCCCCCUCAGUAAUAGCCACUGGCCAACUGCACAUGAUUUCUCCUUGGGGCGGCGCUCCCCAGCAGGACUACCCCAACCCUGGGUCCCGAGGAACUACUGGGCACCAGGGACUGUCACCCUGCCCUGCCGCUGCCCCAGGGCUUCCACCCCCACCCGGGUCCCAACUACCCACCCUUCCUGCCAGACCAGAUGCAGCCACAAGUCCCGCCGCUCCAUUACCAAGAACUCGUGCCACCUGGUUCCUGCAUUUCGGAGGAGCCCAAGCCAAAGAGGGGAAAAAGAUCAUGGCCCCGGAAAAGAACCGCCACCCACACUUGUGAUUACGCGGGCUGUGGCAAAACCUAUACAAAGAGUUCUCAUCUCAAGGCACACCUGUGAACCCACGCAGGUGAGAAACCCUACCUCUGUGAUUGGGAUGGCUGUGGGUGGAAAUUCGCCAGGUCGGAUGAACUGAGGAGGCACUACCGCAAACACACGGGGCACUGCCCGUUCCAGUGCCAGAAGUGUGACCGUGCAUUUUCUAGGUUGGACCACCUCGCCUUACACAUGAAGAGACACUUUUAAGUCUCAAACAGUGGAUAUGACCCACACUGCCAGAAGAGAAUUCAGUAUUUUAUAGCUUUCAUGUUGCCUUCCUGAGGAGGAGGGGAAGAACCCAGCUGGAAAUGGAGACAAUCAUGGUCAAGUUCCCACCUGAGUCAACUUAUGAAUGAGUGAUGAGGAAACAUGAAGAAGCCAAAAGUCAAAAAUCAAAGAACCAAUGGGGUCUGUGACUGGAUCUUCUAUCAUUCCAAUUCUAAAUUCAACUUGAAUAUUCCUGGACUUAACACAAACUCUGAGGGGGUGACUGGAAGUUGUGGCUAUCAGGGUAUAAAUUAGAUCCAUUAGUUGGGGGAGGGAAGACCAGAAUUCCCUUGAAUUGUGUUUAAUGCAAUAUAAGCAUAAAGAUCACCUUGUGUAUUUUUUUUUUUUUUUGCCUUCUAAAAGCCAUUAUUAUGCUAGAAGAAAAGAAAGAAAUUCAGGUACUGAAAAUGUAUUCUAAUAGCCUAAAAAUUGAUGGUGCUUGGUGAGUCUUGGUUCAAAAGGUACCAAACAAGGAAGCCAAAGUUCUCGAACUGCUGCAUACACUGACAAGGAAAAUAAAUCUAUUUUUGUCUUCCAAUCUACAUUUAUGACCUAAGUCAGGUAAAUAUGCCUGGUUUACUUUAAUGUUUUUAUGCAGAAAGUCUGUUAUGCACUGUGGUUUCAGAUGUGCAAUAAUUUGUACAAUGGUUUAUUCCCAAGUAUGCCUUAAGCAGAACAAAUGUUUGUUUUUUUCUAUAUAGUUCCUUGCCUUAAUAAAUAUGUAAUAUAAAUUUAAAACAUAAAAUAAGGGUAGAGUGCCAUGGUGUCAUAGCUCACAGCAACCUCCAGCUCCUG
Nycticebus coucang (slow loris) is the source of this 3173-nucleotide RNA transcript. It is a transcript of the gene named Krueppel-like factor 4, with no coding region annotated. NCBI's taxonomy places the organism in Eukaryota, Metazoa, Chordata, Mammalia, Primates, Lorisidae. The transcript has a single exon. The record is from RefSeq and is a predicted model, not a curated record.